RNAcentral lists this ribosomal RNA (497 nucleotides) under uncultured bacterium. Its description in RNAcentral is "partial 16S ribosomal RNA". It matches the Rfam family "Bacterial small subunit ribosomal RNA", at positions 28 to 507 of the family's 1533-position model. The record is from RNAcentral.
GAUGAACGCUGGCGGCGUGCCUAAUACAUGCAAGUCGAGCGAACAGACGAGGAGCUUGCUCCUCUGACGUUAGCGGCGGACGGGUGAGUAACACGUGGAUAACCUACCUAUAAGACUGGGAUAACUUCGGGAAACCGGAGCUAAUACCGUAUAACAUGUUGAACCGCAUGGUUCAACAGUGAAAGACGGUCUUGCUGUCACUUAUAGAUGGAUCCGCGCCGCAUUAGCUAGUUGGUAAGGUAACGGCUUACCAAGGCAACGAUGCGUAGCCGACCUGAGAUGGUGAUCGGCCACACUGGAACUGAGACACGGUCCAGACUCCUACGGGAGGCAGCAGUAGGGAAUCUUCCGCAAUGGGCGAAAGCCUGACGGAGCAACGCCGCGUGAGUGAAGAAGGUCUUCGGAUCGUAAAACUCUGUUAUUAGGGAAGAACAAAUGUGUAAGUAACUAUGCACGUCUUGACGGUACCUAAUCAGAAAGCCACGGCUAACUACGUG